UUAAGUUCAGCGGGUAUCCCUACCUGAUCCGAGGUCAACCUUAGAAAGAUUUUUUCCCACCCCCGCGGGAGGGAGGAGAGAAAGGAGACCGUGUCCCGAGAACCCUCAAUCCGGUACGUGCUCAGUUAAGAAGCUCAGUGUACCGGGGGUCCUGCGAGGCCGCCGUCAUUGUCUUUAGGAGGGGUCAGUCGCCUAACCAG
Molecule: unclassified non-coding RNA, 200 nt
Filed under: Chaetothyriales sp.
Lineage: Eukaryota; Fungi; Ascomycota; Eurotiomycetes; Chaetothyriales
Description: partial internal transcribed spacer 2
Source: RNAcentral